AUGAACGCUGGCGGCGUGCCUAAUACAUGCCCGUCGAGCGAACAGACGAGGAGCUUGCUCCUCUGACGUUAGCGGCGGACGGGUGAGUAACACGUGGAUAACCUACCUAUAAGACUGGGAUAACUUCGGGAAACCGGAGCUAAUACCGGAUAAUAUAUUGAACCGCAUGGUUCAAUAGUGAAAGACGGUUUUGCUGUCACUUAUAGAUGGAUCCGCGCCGCAUUAGCUAGUUGGUAAGGUAACGGCUUACCAAGGCAACGAUGCGUAGCCGACCUGAGAGGGUGAUCGGCCACACUGGAACUGAGACACGGUCCAGACUCCUACGGGAGGCAGCAGUAGGGAAUCUUCCGCAAUGGGCGAAAGCCUGACGGAGCAACGCCGCGUGAGUGAUGAAGGUCUUCGGAUCGUAAAACUCUGUUAUUAGGGAAGAACAAAUGUGUAAGUAACUAUGCACGUCUUGACGGUACCUAAUCAGAAAGCCACGGCUAACUACGU
RNAcentral lists this ribosomal RNA (495 nucleotides) under uncultured bacterium. RNAcentral's name for it is "partial 16S ribosomal RNA". It matches the Rfam family "Bacterial small subunit ribosomal RNA", at positions 29 to 506 of the family's 1533-position model. The record is from RNAcentral.